UCUCUCUCUCUCUCUCUCUCUCUCUCUCUCUCUUCGUUUCUUCUUCAAAUCGAGUCGUUCCCUUCUCCUUUCCGCUUCUCUUUCCUCCGCCUUCUGCUCUACAUUUUCUCUCUCACUUUCUCUCUGCUCGCUUCUUCCAAUUCUUGGAGUAUCCUUUUCUUGGAUUCUUCUCUGGGCUUCUUUUCUUCUUCUAGGGUUUCUAGGGUUUUGGGCGCUCCAUUCGCUGGAGCGAGCUCGAGCAAAGUGAGGACUGGGCCCGCCCGCUUUCCCACUGGUCUUCCUCGCUUCUUCAAUUGAGCUGGAAUUGGACGGUUUUGCGAGGCGCUGAUCUGGAGAUUGCAGGAGGAGAUUGUGGGAUUUUGCUCGUUCCGGGUGUUCGGAUGGCUUGGCUUUGAUAAGUAAGAGGAUCGUUACUUUUGCUGAUUCUGUUUUAGUGAAUGAAUUGGUUUUGUUUUGUUUCUUUUUGUUCGUUUUAGUGGACGGUUGCGAUUUUAGAUCGGUGUUGGGGAGAAGGAUGAGAUCGGGCGUUAAAGCUUGGAUUUUUGGUUGCGAGUAGGUCAGUUGGACCCUUUUUUUCUCUGAUUUGAUCUCUUUGUUGGGAUGUUUUGAUUUCAGGGUGGUAUCAUUGUUAGAAAAGUAGGGGUGGUUGGUGAGAUGCUGAAAUAGCAGAAAGUUUUCCUCCUUUUUUCUUUAAAUUUUGUGGAAUGGUGAAGAAAUGAACAUGAUGGAUGUGUGGUAUUGUGUCAGCAAGUGGAUUUAGGAGAGAAGUAGUGAAAUCCUUUAAGUGACGUUCUCUUUUUGUGGUUUCUAUGAAAUUUAUAUGUUUCAUAGUUGUCUUUGGAGUGAAUUCAUUGACAUCUUAGUGUAGUUUUGGAAGUAUCCGGGCUGGUAAGGUUAGUUUGCCUUUAUUCCAAUAACCGACCAACUUAUUUUAUUUUCAGCUGAUAUGCCAGCAAAUGUUAGAUAUAUGUUCUAGAAGCCAAUAUCGCUACACAUUGCAAUAAAUGUAGGAUACAAUUUUGUACUUAAUAUAUUGAUUAUAUUAAUAAAAGAUAAAUUUAUUUUUCAUUGAUGUGUUCUUGAAUCGUCCAUGAAAUUAAUCUUCGAUACAUAUUCUCAGGACGUUGAGAAUUAGAGAUGUGUAUUUAAUUCUUAAAUAUUUUCGGUCAUAGGAUCAUUAUGAAGACAGUGAUCAAUCCGGAUAAACUGACGUAUAGAUCGUUUUUUUCGAAAUAGAUGAAUCUCUAAUCUACAGUGUAGAGAUAUUGGACGACGAGUGUGGAUAGUUGUUAGAGAACAACUAAUACUGAGCGUGACCAUAUGAGAGAUCACUUGGAUUUUUAUUCAAUUGUCUGUGAUUGUCUCGAUGCUGUAGUUGUGUGAAUGAUCUUUUGAUCUGAGAUUGUACUACUAUUCACAGUGAGGCUGCUGGAGUUUAACUGAUACAUAAACAUGGGUCUUAAUGAGUCUUUGUAGUGGAUGUUGACGACAGUUGGUCUACUGUAGGAGUAGGGUGCACAUCAAGAUUGGAUCUAUCAACCUUGAUCGAGAGGAGUAGUUCUAUGAGAAUUGAAAGGCUAAGUUCAAGGAUCUAUGGCCAUAUUAGUGUGGUUGAUGGAAAAAAUUUUCAUAGGAAUCACAUUUGGACUUGAGCUAAUCGAAUCUAUUAUAUGACUGAUGUUGAGGUUUGACGAUUUAUCUAUGAUCUGCCAUCAAGUCGGGAUUCACGGUGAAGAGAUUGAAUCACACGUUAACUACUCUUAGAGGUUCAUUUCAAUUCUACUGAAUUGCCACUACAUACUGCUAGGUGUCACUGGUGGAUUGUGAGAGCUCACUAGGAUUGUUCUGGAUCGACAAUCUUUAAUGAGUUAGAGUAGAAUUGUUCCAACCCAUUGAAAAGAGUUUCAAUGAUAUUUUGAUAGAGAUUAUUGUAUAUCUCACUACCGGAUAGAAUUGAACCUAUGGGGUCAUACAACAAAGAGAUUAGAUCUGUAAUUAGCAAUUGAGCUUAUGAAGUAUCAAUUGGGUUUAGAAAAAUCCGAUUGGGUUCAAGGUAAUCUUGCUAGCACAUGGAUGGACCCAAUUUUUUUUCUGUUUUGGAUUUUUUAUUUGAUAAGAUAAUUCAAACUUAAUUACUUGCUAAUAACCUAAAUGAAUAAGAUUUAUUUGACUCCAAUUAUUGGGUGUCUAAGAUUUUGGAUCAUAUAAAUUAAGGGUGCAAGUCUCUAAUCAAUUUUCUUGAUAGUUAUUCUUGGACGUCAUUUUGAUUUGAUCAAGUUGGAUGUGUCCUAUGAUUAGAGGGCUUAUUAAUCUGAUAUGGGGCAUCUCUUGGGUGCAAAAGAGGGUGUGUUCAAUUGGGUGCAAGGGCUCCA
This 2372-nucleotide long non-coding RNA is filed under the name Elaeis guineensis (African oil palm). RNAcentral describes it as "long non-coding RNA (EGUI_LNC079705)". Lineage: Eukaryota; Viridiplantae; Streptophyta; Magnoliopsida; Arecales; Arecaceae. The record is from RNAcentral.